ACGACACUGACUAGUCCCUGCGGCACUUGUCUCGUGCUCAUGGGGAACAUCACGUGAUGCAAAUCCACUCUCGAAUGCAACAGUGUGCACUUGCGCAUGCACCGGACAGCGUACAACGCCCUCGCCUAGUGAAUGGCACAGCGGACGCUCGUGACCCUAGGCCAGAGUACCCGGGCGAGGAGACGGUCAACGGUAUCCCCAAGAGUCUCCUGUACCUGCCCACAGUGCGUCUACCGAGCGAUAACGCAAGCUGUGCAGCGCGAGAGGGCAAUCGUCUCAGGGAGCGCGCUAGUACGCAAACAGAAACACCUGAUAGAGCCCACGCAGUCUGCGCUGCGACGAGCGCAUUGAUAUUGUAUACAACGAGAAUGAGCACGGCAAGCGAAGCGUAGACUGCGACUCCUGCCAGUCCGUACCCGGUGCGCUGGCUAACGCAGGAAGCACCCAUAUCGGGACGUUUGUUUGUAUCGGAGCAUUCUGCGACUGCUUGCGACGGCGCCGGAUGGACACUAGAUACGCCCGUAUGUGAAGCGGAUUGUCCAAGACUGCAAAAAAGAGCAGCCAGGGGGCGUAUCGUGAAAUGAGUGGUGUUGGUGUAACAACAACGACAAGAUACCCAGAUAUUACAGCGUACGCAAGAGUCAGCAAAGUGGAUCCAUACUUUUUCACGUUGACCUGAGUUUACUGCAUGAUACGACCUGCGUACACUGGACACCACUUCCCGAGGCGUGCACCGCGUGAAGAAACCUCGAUCUGGUGCGCGGAGAGCAGGAUAGUCCUCAGGGCAUUGCCGCAACCAAUGUGCAGCUUCCGGCGGAACAAUCGACCAGGCCCCGCCGUUGCAGCACAGUCACGAAGUACGCAAUCCCACAUGACAUUUACGGGAUGCCCCUCCAUCUAUCAACGAUGCAGUGACGAAGAGCAUUGGCUCACGGAAAGCUCGCAAGCGGCCUCUCGCCAGCCUCUGAGCACUGAUGCGCAGCACCUCCUACAUCCUCAGUGCUGGUGGUACGCGAAUCCCGCGAACAGGUCUGUGCGUACCAGCAACAGCAGUGCGAGGGUCGCACAGGCCGUGUCAGAAACCGGGGACACAGCACGCACGCCCAGGGCGUCUUCUUUUGCGCAUAGCAGUCCAAGCCCGUUCACGAACCUGUAGAUUCAAUCCAUGAAUGAUCACGGUUUAGGAACCGUUCAGGAGCCGAUCCAAAGCGGCCGCUACGUUUCCCCCGGUCGCACGCAACGCCGCGAUACAGGCAUCUGUAUCGAAGAAACCCAUUUCCCGCAUCUGUUGCAACUGGGUCGCAAAAUGUUGCUCCAAUUGUUCACGCGUCAUCUGAGCCGUCGGAUCUGUAAAUGUCGCACCACGGGUUUGCCGUGGUCCACCAGCUGUUGCCGAAGCCAUGGGUUGCGGUGUCGUUGCAAUCGCCGGGUCGUACCCGCUCUGGAGCAACGCCUGGUGAAUCGCCCGUCGAAAGCGCAGUUGUGCCUCCUGCAUCGCAAGCGUGGACUCGAAAAAUUCUCUCGUAAAGAGAUU
This is an RNA transcript of Cyanidioschyzon merolae strain 10D, 1534 nucleotides long. RefSeq lists it as hypothetical. The transcript has a single exon. The record is from RefSeq and is a predicted model, not a curated record. Lineage: Eukaryota; Rhodophyta; Bangiophyceae; Cyanidiales; Cyanidiaceae.